RNAcentral lists this ribosomal RNA (200 nucleotides) under uncultured bacterium. RNAcentral's name for it is "partial 16S ribosomal RNA". It matches the Rfam family "Bacterial small subunit ribosomal RNA", at positions 30 to 235 of the family's 1533-position model. The record is from RNAcentral.
AUUGAACGCUGGCGGCAGGCCUAACACAUGCAAGUCGAGCGCGAAAGUUCUUCGGAAUGAGUAAAGCGGCGGACGGGUGAGUAAUACAUGGGAAUCUGCCUGGUAGUGGUGGACAACGUUUCGAAAGGAACGCUAAUACCGCAUACGCCCUACGGGGAAAGGGGGGAUCUUCGGACCUCUCGCUAUCAGAUGAGCCCAUG